ACGUCUUGCCGGAAAGGGCGGGGUUGCUGCCUGAGCUAGAGAGAGCCGCGUGGCGGGCGGGCGCGCUUUUUCUAGUUGCGGAGGGGCGGCAGUAGCCGCUCGUCGUGGUGGUGGUGGGAGGAGCGGGAGCGAGGUUUCCUGCGCGCCGGAGACUGGGCCCCGUCUCGCUCCCAGCCACGGGGCUACAUUCUUCUGGCGCUCUGCUUGGCGCGCGCGCUCCCGCCCGGCCGGGGCCUGUCUUCUCAGAGGAGAACAUGGCCCCGGGGGAAGGGGGGCGCCGGUGGCGCGACCAGAGGCGGUGGGCGAGGGGGCCGCCACCGCCUUUCCGGUAACGUGGCUCAUUGUGUCCCUGCAGGUGGGGACCGGACCGCAGCGGAGCCGCAGCCGGGGGGAGCGGGAUGCAGCAGGAACCUUGCAGACCCAGAGCAGCCAGCAGUUGCCAGGACAAACAUUCCUAAGUUGUGAGGACUUCGAAGAAGGUGGGAUAAACAACACAGCCAGACUUGUAGAAACUUGAAGUAAAACAAGUUUGCUCAAGGGCCAUUUAAAAAAAAACAAAACCCUUUUGAUUGCUGGUUGAAAGGAGAGCCAGCAGUGAAAAUUGUACUAUUUGCUUUUGAAAGUGGUGCAACAUAACCCAACCCAAGAAAGGCUGCAGUCAGCCAGCAACAUGAGCAAGUGUUAAAAGACCUGUCUAAUAAAUGCUAAAAUCUGGUUUGGAUGUGGGUUGAAAAUUGGAGUUUUUUGGAUGGGUCCUAAAAACUUGAGAUGACAUUUGGUUCAGGAAGACUGUGCUUUAAGAGUCUUUUCAUAGUUCCACACACAGCCUCCUGGAAGCUGCAGUUCACUGCCUUUAGACUUCCAUGCCAGCUGACUUGAUGCGGCAGUGUGGCUGGCAGUCCAGCAACUAAGAGGGUAGUUAGCACAAAAGCAAAAGAGUUUCUAAAGCUCCUGCUUCUGCUGCAAAAAUCAUCUUCUCCCUUCGUCCCCUUUAAAUAUGUAUAUACAGAACAUGUAACUUAGGUUUAGGGAGAAAUUAAAACUUUAAAAUUUUUAUUUCUUUCUCCUGUAAAAAAACUAAUUCUAAAAGUGACUUAAUUUUACAGCACCCCUAAAUUCUUGUUGAAUUGAUUCUGCUGACUAUUUAUAAUCCAAAUAUUGGCCAAAUAACUUGAGAUCAUGUGCUGCAUUUGUUAGAGGUGAAACUAGAAAGAAUAAAGGAAACUGCCACUCUUCAGAACAGCCACAAUUCUUCUCAGAAAUUAAUAGUCCUUGCUAACUAUAGCAGGAGAACCACACCACUACAGGUAUUUAAAGUAUUAUAUUCACAAAAGUUCUAGGCCAUUUGAAUAAAAUGCACUGAUUACACAA
Molecule: long non-coding RNA, 1371 nt
Organism: Chrysemys picta bellii (western painted turtle)
Lineage: Eukaryota; Metazoa; Chordata; Testudines; Emydidae
Source: RefSeq, a predicted model, not a curated record